UGGGUGACCUGCCCUCAGCUCUGGGAUAAGCCUGGGAAACUGGGUCUAAUACCGGAUAGGACCGCAUGUUUCAUGGUGUGUGGUGGUAAAGUUUUUUCGGCUGGGGAUGGGCCCGCGGCCUAUCAGCUUGUUGGGUGGGGUGAUGGCCUACCAAGGCGACGACGGGUAGCCGGCCUGAGAGGGUGACCCGGCCACACUGGGACUGAGACACGGCCCAGACCUCCGUACGGGAG
Molecule: ribosomal RNA, 233 nt
Filed under: uncultured bacterium
Lineage: Bacteria
Description: partial 16S ribosomal RNA
Rfam family: Bacterial small subunit ribosomal RNA
Source: RNAcentral